Molecule: ribosomal RNA, 253 nt
Filed under: uncultured bacterium
Lineage: Bacteria
Description: partial 16S ribosomal RNA
Rfam family: Bacterial small subunit ribosomal RNA
Source: RNAcentral
UACGUAGGGUGCGAGCGUUGUCCGGAAUUACUGGGCGUAAAGAGCUCGUAGGUGGUUUGUCGCGUUGUUCGUGAAAACUCACAGCUUAACUGUGGGCGUGCGGGCGAUACGGGCAGACUGGAGUACUGCAGGGGAGACUGGAAUUCCUGGUGUAGCGGUGGAAUGCGCAGAUAUCAGGAGGAACACCGGUGGCGAAGGCGGGUCUCUGGGCAGUAACUGACGCUGAGGAGCGAAAGCGCGGGGAGCAAACGGG